RNAcentral lists this transfer RNA (73 nucleotides) under Streptomyces albus subsp. albus. RNAcentral describes it as "tRNA-Asp". It matches the Rfam family "tRNA". Rfam says of the family: Transfer RNA (tRNA) molecules are approximately 80 nucleotides in length. Their secondary structure includes four short double-helical elements and three loops (D, anti-codon, and T loops). The record is from RNAcentral. Lineage: Bacteria; Bacillati; Actinomycetota; Actinomycetes; Kitasatosporales; Streptomycetaceae.
GGUCCCGUAGCUCAGUGGUUAGAGCGUCUGCCUGUCGAGCGGAAGGCCGCCGGUUCGAUUCCGGCCGGGACCG